RNAcentral lists this transfer RNA (77 nucleotides) under Empedobacter brevis. RNAcentral's name for it is "tRNA-Arg". It matches the Rfam family "tRNA". Rfam says of the family: Transfer RNA (tRNA) molecules are approximately 80 nucleotides in length. Their secondary structure includes four short double-helical elements and three loops (D, anti-codon, and T loops). Lineage: Bacteria; Pseudomonadati; Bacteroidota; Flavobacteriia; Flavobacteriales; Weeksellaceae. RNAcentral also lists the same sequence under 4 other names. The record is from RNAcentral.
GGCCGAGUGGCGCAACUGAAUAGCGCACUUGAUUACGGCUCAAGAGGUUACAGGUUUGAAUCCUGUCUCGGUCACAA